RNAcentral lists this ribosomal RNA (25 nucleotides) under Griseoporia carbonaria. Its description in RNAcentral is "partial 18S ribosomal RNA". The record is from RNAcentral. Lineage: Eukaryota; Fungi; Basidiomycota; Agaricomycetes; Gloeophyllales; Gloeophyllaceae.
GCGAGAGCGACUGCGGAGGACAUUA